Molecule: long non-coding RNA, 495 nt
Organism: Panicum virgatum (switchgrass)
Lineage: Eukaryota; Viridiplantae; Streptophyta; Magnoliopsida; Poales; Poaceae
Exons: 3
Source: RefSeq, a predicted model, not a curated record
GUGCAUAGGAUUGGCUUAGGAGAGCAACUCCUAUUGACAUCAAAGAGAAUAUGGAGGAAUUAGAAAUGAUGGAAAAAGAGUUAAUAGAAGAAUUUGGUAACCAUAAAGCCCAGAAUAUUGGCAAAGGAAAAGGGAAAGAAAAAGAGGCUUCCACUGCAAAAACACAAGCACAAGCAACACCAAUAGGAAGCAACUCCAAGUCGAUCUCCAAACCUGGGUCAUCUACAUCUUAAAAAGGGUGGUGCAGUGGUGCUGCUGGACAGAUGGAGAACUGGGUGGUUUGGACUUUGGAAGCGAAUCUGUCUUAGUCAUGUAGUUUUUUCAUCUACGAUUUGAUUUGUGUGCUUCAAAACUAUGCUUAUUAAUUGUGAUAUGUGAAGUGUGAACUGUCACGGUUUGGACGUGUGAAGUGUUAGUUAAUUUCGUUUGAACUGUCAGUUUGGACGUGUGAACUGGAUGUAUGGUUGGGUGUAUUUGAUUUGAUUUUAUACUGCA